RNAcentral lists this long non-coding RNA (481 nucleotides) under Mytilus galloprovincialis (Mediterranean mussel). Lineage: Eukaryota; Metazoa; Mollusca; Bivalvia; Mytilida; Mytilidae. The record is from RNAcentral.
UGUCGCCUUGGAUUUUUCCGUAUAUCUUGUUAAUCCGUUUUAUCCGGUACGCUUCCGUUAAGUGUCCGUUUUAUACGUUACUCGUCCGUUGUAUGUACGUUCGACAUCCGUUCUGUUCGGUACGUGUCUGUUUCUCGUACGUCGCAUAUCCGUAGGUGUUCGUUAUGUAUCCGUUACACGUCCGUUUUAUUCGGUCAGUACAUCAACGGACUCUAAACGGAUAACAAUUUUGUCAACCGACAACUUUUAUUUUCAUCCGUUAGGUGUCCGUUCGUGCUAUCCGGUAAGAUGUGACCGAGGCUUGUAAGAGGGACAAAAGAUACUAAAGGGAUAGUCAAAGGUAAGCAGAUACUGCUCCACAUGUGGCACCCGUCGUGUUGAUUAUGUGAUUACUAAUGUGCUAAGUUAUGAAAACUGCUUUGUCACAAUACAAUAUUACAUAAUUUAAUUUUGGAUAUAAGGCGUCUUCUGAUUGGCUGAC